This 64-nucleotide transfer RNA is filed under the name Auplopus sp. SJW-2017. RNAcentral describes it as "tRNA-Asp". The record is from RNAcentral. Lineage: Eukaryota; Metazoa; Arthropoda; Insecta; Hymenoptera; Pompilidae.
AAAAAAUUAGUUAAUUUAUAAUAUUAAACUGUCAGUUUAAAGUUACAUAAAAAUGUAUUUUUUU